This 441-nucleotide ribosomal RNA is filed under the name uncultured bacterium. RNAcentral describes it as "bacterial SSU rRNA". It matches the Rfam family "Bacterial small subunit ribosomal RNA", at positions 958 to 1397 of the family's 1533-position model. The record is from RNAcentral.
AACGCGAAGAACCUUACCUAGGCUUGACAUACACGUGACGGCUUUCAGAGAUGAGAGCUUCCCUUCGGGGCACGUGCACAGGUGCUGCAUGGCUGUCGUCAGCUCGUGUCGUGAGAUGUUGGGUUAAGUCCCGCAACGAGCGCAACCCUUAUCCCUAGUUGCCAUCGGGUCAAGCCGGGCACUCUAGUGAAACCGCCCAGGAUAACUGGGAGGAAGGUGGGGAUGACGUCAAGUCCUCAUGGCCUUUAUGUCCAGGGCUACACACGUGCUACAAUGGUCGGUACAAACCGUCGCAAACCCGCGAGGGGGAGCUAAUCGGAAAAAGCCGGCCUCAGUUCGGAUUGGAGUCUGCAACCCGACUCCAUGAAGCUGGAAUCGCUAGUAAUCGCGGAUCAGAACGCCGCGGUGAAUACGUUCCCGGGCCUUGUACACACCGGACUA